GCAUAUCAAUAAGCGGAGGAAAAGAAACCAACAGGGAUUGCCUCAGUAACGGCGAGUGAAGCGGCAACAGCUCAAAUUUGAAAUCUGGUCCCCUCUGGGGGCCCGAGUUGUAAUUUGAAGAGGAUGCUUUUGGCGAGGCGCCUUCCGAGUGCCCUGGAACGGGACGCCACAGAGGGUGAGAGCCCCGUAUGGUAGGACGCCGAGCCUCUGUAAAGCUCCUUCGACGAGUCGAGUAGUUUGGGAAUGCUGCUCAAAAUGGGAGGUAAACCCCUUCUAAAGCUAAAUAUUGGCCAGAGACCGAUAGCGCACAAGUAGAGUGAUCGAAAGAUGAAAAGCACUUUGAAAAGAGAGUUAAACAGCACGUGAAAUUGUUGAAAGGGAAGCGCUUGCGACCAGACUUGCGCCCGUCGGAUCAACCGUCCCUCGUGGGCGGCGCACUCCGGCGGGCUCAGGCCAGCAUCAGUUUUCCUGGGGGUAGAAAGGCGGUGGGAAUGUAGCUCUUCGGAGUGUUAUAGCCCGCCGUGUAAUGCCCUCGGGGGGACUGAGGACCGCGCGUAUGCAAGGAUGCUGGCGUAAUGGUCGUCAGCGACCCGUCUUGAAACACGGACCAAGGAGUCGUCCUAAUAUGCGAGUGUACGGGUGUAAAACCCCUGCGCGUAAUGAAAGUGAACGGAGGUGAGAGCUUCGGCGCAUCAUCGACCGAUCCUGAUGUUCUCGGAUGGAUUUGAGUAAGAGCAUAUUGGGCCGGACCCGAAAGAAGGUGAACUAUGCCUGUAUAGGGUGAAGCCAGAGGAAACUCUGGUGGAGGCUCGCAGCGGUUCUGACGUGCAAAUCGAUCGUCAAAUAUGGGCAUGGGGGGCGAAAGACUAAUCGAACCUUCUAGUAGCUGGUUUCCGCCGAAGU
Molecule: ribosomal RNA, 903 nt
Filed under: Cephalotrichum purpureofuscum
Lineage: Eukaryota; Fungi; Ascomycota; Sordariomycetes; Microascales; Microascaceae
Description: LSU rRNA
Rfam family: Eukaryotic large subunit ribosomal RNA
Source: RNAcentral